Molecule: ribosomal RNA, 651 nt
Filed under: uncultured bacterium
Lineage: Bacteria
Description: bacterial SSU rRNA
Rfam family: Bacterial small subunit ribosomal RNA
Source: RNAcentral
UUGCUAGCUUGCUAAUAAUUCUCUAGUGGCGCACGGGUGAGUAACACGUGAGUAACCUGCCCCCAAGAGUGGGAUAGCCCCGGGAAACUGGGAUUAAUACCGCAUAAAAUCGCAAGAUUAAAGCAGCAAUGCGCUUGGGGAUGGGCUCGCGUCCUAUUAGUUAGUUGGUGAGGUAACGGCUCACCAAGGCGAUGACGGGUAGCCGGUCUGAGAGGAUGUCCGGCCACACUGGAACUGAGACACGGUCCAGACACCUACGGGUGGCAGCAGUCGAGAAUCAUUCACAAUGGGGGAAACCCUGAUGGUGCGACGCCGCGUGGGGGAAUGAAGGUCUUCGGAUUGUAAACCCCUGUCAUGUGGGAGCAAAUUAAAAAGAUAGUACCACAAGAGGAAGAGACGGCUAACUCUGUGCCAGCAGCCGCGGUAAUACAGAGGUCUCAAGCGUUGUUCGGAAUCACUGGGCGUAAAGCGUGCGUAGGCGGUUUCGUAAGUCGUGUGUGAAAGGCGGGGGCUCAACCCCCGGACUGCACAUGAUACUGCGAGACUAGAGUAAUGGAGGGGGAACCGGAAUUCUCGGUGUAGCAGUGAAAUGCGUAGAUAUCGAGAGGAACACUCGUGGCGAAGGCGGGUUCCUGGACAUUAACUGACGCU